GGAGGAGUAGCGAAGUAGCUAAACGCGACGGACUGUAAAUCCGUUCCUUAGGGUUCAGUGGUUCGAAUCCACUCUCCUCCA
This 81-nucleotide transfer RNA is filed under the name Klebsiella pneumoniae. RNAcentral's name for it is "tRNA-Tyr". It matches the Rfam family "tRNA". From Rfam's summary of the family: Transfer RNA (tRNA) molecules are approximately 80 nucleotides in length. Their secondary structure includes four short double-helical elements and three loops (D, anti-codon, and T loops). Lineage: Bacteria; Pseudomonadati; Pseudomonadota; Gammaproteobacteria; Enterobacterales; Enterobacteriaceae. The record is from RNAcentral.